UAAAUAUAUGGUUUCUGUAGCAAUUUAAAAUUGGAUUCAUAUAGUUUUAAGCACACAACACAUAUGCUAAUUUGAAGGUUCAUCGCAAUGGAACUCUAUAAUGUCUGAGAGGUCCUCUAUAGUUCCAUCGUCAGGCUUCCCAAGUUUAAUCUUUCUCCAAGUUUCCAUAUGGCGGAAGGGAUGUAACACUUCUGAAGUCAUUUGAGUUCCAAGACCUAUAUUCAUGUGGUCAGUUUUUACCGUUUCAAGUUUCAACAGUGGUCACUCCACUUUGGAUCAGCUUGCAUUCAGUUACAUGCCAGUUAAGUUCAAGUUUCUUCGUGCAAGAGCGUGCACCCGAACAUCACCUCUCAAUUUAGCUAUAGAGAUUCUGAAAUGGAGUGAGGAGAGAACAAACAUAUGCGUGAUGUAUACUCUAUGUCCAGUACUUAUCAAGUUCUUCUCAAAUCAGUGUAUUCACAUUAAAAACAAGUCUAAUGUAAAUAGUCACCACUAUCUGGAGUAGAGAUUCUUACACAUUGAUCUUAAUUGUUUGAGAUUCAGUUCAGCGCAUUCAUUUCUUUUUUGAACUUGACCAUUGAAACUCUUCGCAACUAAACCAUGACUUGAACCCCUCUAACCAUCGACUGUUCUCUUUUUUUUUGUGACUAAUCGACUGUUCUAUAAUGAAUGCUGACAUUAACAUUUUAACAAUCUGUGAAACAAAACAACUCAUCCUUCGUAAGUAAUCCUGUUGAGCAGCAUGAAUCAUGAACUAAUAAAAUAUUUUUUUUUUUGUGCAACAUUAGUUAUCUACUUAAUUAACUUCAUUUGGUAACUAAAUGUCUUUUUAAAAAAAAAAAUUCUCUCGCAAGUUAUCAUGUAAAUACCAUAUGUUUUGAACCAAGUGUUGUCCAAGGUUGAGUCCUCACAAAAAGAGUACGAAAUAUGAGGAAACCAUAAGAGAAGACAAAUUAAUACCACAUUAAACAACAACAUGUCAACGUUUUUCAUUUAUGUUCACAAAAAAUUAAAAAAAG
Brassica rapa (field mustard) is the source of this 1019-nucleotide long non-coding RNA. RefSeq lists it as uncharacterized. Lineage: Eukaryota; Viridiplantae; Streptophyta; Magnoliopsida; Brassicales; Brassicaceae. The record is from RefSeq and is a predicted model, not a curated record.